This 84-nucleotide microRNA precursor is filed under the name Bombyx mori (domestic silkworm). RNAcentral's name for it is "mir-2807 microRNA precursor family". It matches the Rfam family "mir-2807 microRNA precursor family". The record is from Rfam by way of RNAcentral. Lineage: Eukaryota; Metazoa; Arthropoda; Insecta; Lepidoptera; Bombycidae.
UUAACUCAAAUAUGUAUGGAGUUGGAACGUUUGCCUACGUUUGCCGCUAGGGGCGCUGCUCAGACUCCAUACAAAUUUGGGUUA